RNAcentral lists this small RNA (1103 nucleotides) under Histoplasma ohiense. RNAcentral's name for it is "hypothetical lncRNA". Lineage: Eukaryota; Fungi; Ascomycota; Eurotiomycetes; Onygenales; Ajellomycetaceae. The record is from RNAcentral.
AUCUAUUGCUGCAAGCUAUCCCUCACUGCUAAGCUAUCGCUGCCAACCUAUCUAUCACUGCCAACCUAUCUAUCGCUGCCAAUUUAUCUACCACUGCCAAUCUAUCUAUUGCUGCUAAUCUAUCGCUGCUGUCAAUCUAUCCCUCGCUGCUAAGCUAUCCCUCACUGCUAAGCUAUCCCUCGCUGCUAAGCUAUCCCUCACUGCUAAGCUAUCGCUGCCAACCUCUCUAUUGCUGCAAGCUAUCCCUCGCUGCUAAGCUAUCGCUGCCAACCUAUCUAUCGCUGCCAACCUAUCUAUCGCUGCCAAUUUAUCUACCACUGCCAAUCUAUCUAUUGCUGCUAAUCUAUCACUGCUGUCAAUCUAUCCCUCGCUGCUAAGCUAUCCCUCGCUGCUAAGCUAUCCCUCGCUGCUAAGCUAUCCCUCGCUGCUAAGCUAUCCCUCGCUGCUAAGCUAUCGCUGCCAACCUAUCUAUCGCUGCCAACCUAUCUAUCGCUGCCAACCUAUCUAUCGCUGCCAAUUUAUCUACCACUGCCAAUCUAUCUAUUGCUGCUAAUCUAUCGCCGCUGCCAAUCUAUCCCUCGCUGCUAAGCUAUCCCUCGCUGCUAAGCUAUCCCUCACUGCUAAGCUAUCUCUCGCUGCUAAGCUAUCCCUCACUGCUAAGCUAUCCCUCGCUGCUAAGCUAUCCCUCACUACUAAGCUAUCUAUCACUGCUAAUCUAUCGCUGCCAACCUAUCUAUCACUGCCAAUCUAUCUAUCGCUGCUAAUCUAUCGCUGCUAAUCUAUUGCUGCUAAUCUAUCACUGCUAAUCUAUCGCUGCCAACCUAUCUACCGCGGCGAAUCUAUCUAUCACUAUCAUUACUAGUUCAAAAUAGAACUAGAGCAUAAAUACACUAAACUUCUUUUGAUAGGUAAUGAUUUUUGGUAAUGCUCAUAGCAUUAUAUCAUCUAUAUAGGGUAAAUCAUGGUCUCAUUUGGUCCCAUUUUAACAAAAUGGGACCAAAUGAGACCAGAAUCAGUAAUUUAUAAGAAGAACAUGACCUGAGACUAGAUUUAUAAUAUAAACAGUGUAAAGUGACUAAUUUAAUAAACACUAUAUGGGACCA